AAGUCGUAACAAGGUUUCCGUAGGUGAACCUGCGGAAGGAUCAUUAUCGAAUUUCGAGGAGGAAGCUGGAAAGCAGAGGACUGUCGCUGGCUUUUUUUUUUUGCAUGUGCACGUCUCUGCUUUCUGUCAACCCCUCUCUCAUUCACACACCUGUGCACCUAUUGUAGGUCCUCGAAAGAGGAUCUAUGUUUUUUCACAUCACAUCUAUCGUAUGUAUAUAGAAUGCUAUCAAAAGACUGUUGACCAGGCUAGUUCCUGGUUUGACUGGUCUUAUGAAAACCAUAUUACAACUUUCAGCAACGGAUCUCUUGGCUCUC
RNAcentral lists this unclassified non-coding RNA (317 nucleotides) under fungal sp. RNAcentral describes it as "partial internal transcribed spacer region". The stretch from base 1 to 46 matches the Rfam family "Eukaryotic small subunit ribosomal RNA", at positions 1786 to 1831 of the family's 1831-position model. The record is from RNAcentral. Lineage: Eukaryota; Fungi.